Molecule: transfer RNA, 93 nt
Filed under: Hypoxylon sp. CI-4A
Lineage: Eukaryota; Fungi; Ascomycota; Sordariomycetes; Xylariales; Hypoxylaceae
Rfam family: tRNA
About the family: Transfer RNA (tRNA) molecules are approximately 80 nucleotides in length. Their secondary structure includes four short double-helical elements and three loops (D, anti-codon, and T loops).
Source: Rfam by way of RNAcentral
GCGGGGAUAGCUCAGCUGGGAGAGCGUCAGACUGAAGCCCACUUCUGUCUUCUGAUAAUCUGAAGGUCGUGUGUUCGAUCCACACUCACCGCA